UACGUAGGGUGCGAGCGUUACUCAGAAUUACUGGGCGUAAAGCGUGCGUAGGCGGUUCGCCAAGUCCGGGGUGAAAUCCCCGGGCUUAACCUGGGAAUCGCGCUUGAAACUGGCGGGCUUGAGUGUGGCAGAGGGGAGUGGAAUUCCACGUGUAGCAGUGAAAUGCGUAGAGAUGUGGAGGAACACCGAUGGCGAAGGCAGCGCCCUGGGUCACCACUGACGCUCAUGCACGAAAGCGUGGGGAGCAAACAGG
RNAcentral lists this ribosomal RNA (253 nucleotides) under uncultured bacterium. Its description in RNAcentral is "partial 16S ribosomal RNA". It matches the Rfam family "Bacterial small subunit ribosomal RNA", at positions 524 to 776 of the family's 1533-position model. The record is from RNAcentral.